This 496-nucleotide ribosomal RNA is filed under the name uncultured bacterium. Its description in RNAcentral is "partial 16S ribosomal RNA". It matches the Rfam family "Bacterial small subunit ribosomal RNA", at positions 30 to 523 of the family's 1533-position model. The record is from RNAcentral.
AUUGAACGCUGGCGGAAUGCUUUACACAUGCAAGUCGAACGGUAGAGGGGGCAACCCCUCGAGAGUGGCGAACGGGUGAGUAAUAUAUCGGAACGUGCCCAGUCGUGGGGGAUAACGUAGCGAAAGUUACGCUAAUACCGCAUACGAUCUAAGGAUGAAAGCGGGGGAUCGCAAGACCUCGCGCGAUUGGAGCGGCCGAUAUCAGAUUAGGUAGUUGGUGGGGUAAAGGCCCACCAAGCCAACGAUCUGUAGCUGGUCUGAGAGGACGACCAGCCACACUGGAACUGAGACACGGUCCAGACUCCUACGGGAGGCAGCAGUGGGGAAUUUUGGACAAUGGGCGAAAGCCUGAUCCAGCCAUUCCGCGUGCAGGAUGAAGGCCCUCGGGUUGUAAACUGCUUUUGUACAGUACGAAAAGGUUUCUACUAAUACUAGGAGCUCAUGACGGUACUGUAAGAAUAAGCACCGGCUAACUACGUGCCAGCAGCCGCGGUAA